CCUACGGGCGGCUGCAGUGAGGAAUAUUGGUCAAUGGGCGGGAGCCUGAACCAGCCAAGUCGCGUGAGGGAAGACGGUCCUAUGGAUUGUAAACCUCUUUAGGCGGGGAGCAAUGCCGGGCACGCGUGCCCGGAGGGAGAGUACCCGCAGAAUAAGCAUCGGCUAACUCCGUGCCAGCAGCCGCGGUAAUACGGAGGAUGCGAGCGUUGUCCGGAUUUAUGGGGUUUAAAGGGUGCGUAGGCGGAUUUUUAAGUCAGCGGUAAAAUGUCCGGGCUCAACCCGGGCCGGCCGUUGAAACUGGGGAUCUUGAGUGGGCGAAAAGUAUGCGGAAUGCGUGGUGUAGCGGUGAAAUGCAUAGAUAUCACGCAGAACUCCGAUUGCGAAGGCAGCAUACCGGCGCCCGACUGACGCUGAGGCACGAAAGCGUGGGGAUCGAACAGGAUUAGAUACCCCUGUAGUC
Molecule: ribosomal RNA, 460 nt
Filed under: uncultured bacterium
Lineage: Bacteria
Description: partial 16S ribosomal RNA
Rfam family: Bacterial small subunit ribosomal RNA
Source: RNAcentral